This 123-nucleotide ribosomal RNA is filed under the name Triticum aestivum (bread wheat). RNAcentral describes it as "partial small subunit ribosomal RNA". Lineage: Eukaryota; Viridiplantae; Streptophyta; Magnoliopsida; Poales; Poaceae. The record is from RNAcentral.
AUGGCCGAUACUACUGAAAGAAUUCCUCUUUGACUGGUAGGUGCUAUAGGUGGUAUUCCUAUGAUCGUUUUAGCAAGCGUUUUCUUUUAUGGAUCAUAUUCUAGAUAAGGUUCAUCACUAUAG